Molecule: long non-coding RNA, 254 nt
Filed under: Gallus gallus (chicken)
Lineage: Eukaryota; Metazoa; Chordata; Aves; Galliformes; Phasianidae
Source: RNAcentral
CUUGAAUCCAAGGAGUGUUAGUGCUCACUAAACCACGGUGUAUUGUUUGCAUAGCUUUGACAAAUGUAUUUCAUUAACUUUUCAUGGCUCUUUCUUUGAUGAACUUCAAAUAAUAACACUUAUGAAUUCAAGAAAUCUGUAUUUUAUUUAUAUAUCUACAUAGAAACUAUUGUUUUAGAUCUUUCUAACCUUACAUACAGUGUACCAUUUCAAACUUUUCCUUUCUACCUUAAAACUAUAAGCAACAACAUGUA